AACAAGCAACUAUAGCAAGAGUGUACACCUGAACCCAUUCCGAACUCAGUAGUUAAGCCUCUUAGCGUCGAAGAUACCAGUAAUGGGAAAAUAGAGCGUUGCUUUUU
This 107-nucleotide ribosomal RNA is filed under the name Mycoplasma mobile 163K. Lineage: Bacteria; Bacillati; Mycoplasmatota; Mycoplasmoidales; Metamycoplasmataceae. The record is from RNAcentral.